GAUGAACGCUGGCGGCGUGCCUAAUACAUGCAAGUCGAGCGAACAGACGAGGAGCUUGCUCCUCUGACGUUAGCGGCGGACGGGUGAGUAACACGUGGAUAACCUACCUAUAAGACUGGGAUAACUUCGGGAAACCGGAGCUAAUACCGGAUAAUAUAUUGAACCGCAUGGUUCAAUAGUGAAAGACGGUUUUGCUGUCACUUAUAGAUGGAUCCGCGCCGCAUUAGCUAGUUGGUAAGGUAACGGCUUACCAAGGCGACGAUGCGUAGCCGAGCUGAGAGGGUGAUCGGCCACACUGGAACUGAGACACGGUCCAGACUCCUACGGGAGGCAGCAGUAGGGAAUCUUGCGCAAUGGGCGAAAGCCUGACGGAGCAACGCCGCGUGAGUGAUGAAGGUCUUCGGAUCGUAAAACUCUGUUAUUAGGGAAGAACAAAUGUGUAAGUAACUAUGCACGUCUUGACGGUACCUAAUCAGAAAGCCACGGCUAACUACGUG
RNAcentral lists this ribosomal RNA (497 nucleotides) under uncultured bacterium. Its description in RNAcentral is "partial 16S ribosomal RNA". It matches the Rfam family "Bacterial small subunit ribosomal RNA", at positions 28 to 507 of the family's 1533-position model. The record is from RNAcentral.